GACGAACGCUGGCGGCGUGCUUAACACAUGCAAGUCGAACGGAAAGGCCCUGCUUUUGUGGGGUGCUCGAGUGGCGAACGGGUGAGUAACACGUGAGUAACCUGCCCUUGACUUUGGGAUAACCUCAGGAAACUGGGGCUAAUACCGGAUAGGAGCUCCUGCUGCAUGGUGGGGGUUGGAAAGUUUCGGCGGUUGGGGAUGGACUCGCGGCUUAUCAGCUUGUUGGUGGGGUAGUGGCUUACCAAGGCUUUGACGGGUAGCCGGCCUGAGAGGGUGACCGGCCACAUUGGGACUGAGAUACGGCCCAGACUCCUACGGGAGGCAGCAGUGGGGAAUAUUGCACAAUGGGCGGAAGCCUAAUGCAGCAACGCCGCGUGCGGGAUGACGGCCUUCGGGUUGUAAACCGCUUUCGCCUGUGACGAAGCGUGAGUGACGGUAAUGGGUAAAGAAGCACCGGCUAACUACGUG
Molecule: ribosomal RNA, 468 nt
Filed under: uncultured bacterium
Lineage: Bacteria
Description: partial 16S ribosomal RNA
Rfam family: Bacterial small subunit ribosomal RNA
Source: RNAcentral